AUUCUGGGCUCAGGUUUGCUUAGUGUUUUAUUCCUGCAUUGUUCACUGAAGCCCUUGGCAGCUGCAGCUCAGUCACCGGCCAGUGUAAGGACAGCUCCUGCUCUCUUGGGAGAGUGGAAACAGACAAACAUGAUGUCAGGCAUGCAGAAACCCUUUGCUAUACUCCCUCGCCCUUUGGGUUCAAAAAGCCUAACUCCUCUGUAUAAGAUUCAGGAAAAUGACAAUAUGUAACAUUAUUCAAUUACAUCCAAACAAUUCUUGGAACUUGGCAAUCACAAAGCAGAGCCUCAUGGUGAGCAGAAGCAAAGCAAAGGCCGUAUUUUCCUGCAACUAACAAUUUCUUCCUAUAGUAAAGUUUAAGUCUCCAGAGGGGCCAGAGAAAUGAUGCUGUUUCCAGAUAAAGUGUGCAUAGAUUACACUGUCGACUACCUCUGCCACAUUCAGUUCCAGAGGCUCUGGCCGGAAAAGAGAAAGCUGCUGCUUUAAGAACAUUUGCAUCAUUGGACUAACCUUCAUGUGGAUAUUUCUUCCAAAGGGAGAAGCUGAAAUUCCUCACCCACAAUAGGAGAAGCAGACUGGGCAUCAUUCUCUAAAGUGCUGUUGGGAGUAGGAAAGAGCAGAACUGGCAGCUUGUUAAAAGUGUUCGUUGCCAAGGUGACACCUGAAUGGAGAGGUGGAUACUUCCAUGGAGAACUGGAAACUUAACCAAGGCUUAGACUUGACUGUAUUUCCAAAGGUCUGUGAGGAGUCAGCCAAGUUCUUUACUGAUAUACCAUGGAGAACCCAAGGAAGGACCUGGAACUAAACCUGAGGGAGUCAGGCUGGCAGGCAAGUCUGGCUCAACCUGGACACUCCAUGGAAUAAGAGAAUCAAGGCAAACAGCUGUUAUAUGGAACUUCAAGCUUAAGAAAGCAAAUAACCCGAUUUAAAAAUAGGCAAACUGUCAGAACAGAAGACAGCUUAUGAAAGAAGACAUACAGAUACCAGGUUGCCUUGGUCAUGGUGUCUCUUUACAGCAGUAGAAAGGUAACAAACACAGAAGUUGCGACCAGGAAGUGGGCCUUUGCUGAGAAUCUGACCACGUUGCUAUUUGGGAGAAUAUGGAGGCCUUUAGAAUUUUGUGUUAGGGUCCUCGAGAAGUCCCAUAAAAGACCACCAGACACGAUGCAAUCAGCAAGAGUGUUUCCUAUCUCGAGAGUAAAGACACCAGUGUGCUGGGGCUGCACAUCCAACACAAAGGUGAAAAUGGCAAGCCCCAAGAAAAGCUCACAGGCUCUUCUAUCCACGUUGUUUUUCCCAUUCUUAGGCAAGUCUGGACAAGUCCUAGGCUUUGUCCUUAUUUGGUUAUUACCUGUAGGGAGGAAGGGGGAUUGGCUGAGGCCUUGUUCUUAACUGAGUUUUUAGGAGCCUGUCAUGGUAUUUGCCUGGCCUUCUCACUUUGGACUAAAGUAGUUGAAUGCUGUAAGAAGAACUUAAUUGACUGUCCUAGCAGGAACUUGGAAGACAGUAGUUCUGAGAGUAACAUGGACUGUGGAAUACCAGCUCCAGAUGUUUCAGAGAGACACAACAUUAGUAAUUAGGCUAGAGACCAUUAUUUGGCCAAGGAUGUGCCUACCUUCUGCCCUUGUUCAAAGAAUUUUCUGAAGGCGAAAUUGAAAAUUAAUGAACUAAUUUCUUUGACAGAGGAGAUUUUUAAGGCAGCCUAAUAUUGACUAUGUUGUGUGGUUAUUAGUGAUCAUUCUUUUGCAGAUCAACUGUGAUAAAAAGAAAUAAAAAAAAGGUACACUUCAAAGAGAAAAAUGGCACCAGGAAAUUUAAGGUUGCAGCCAAGGCUUGUGCUGAUAGAGCUAAGGAGAGAAAGGAGAGUCCUGAUCCAAAUUGGAAUAAAAGGAGGGAAGCUCUAAGGGCAAGACCUCACCCAGCUAAGCCUAUAAACUUGUAACAGGAAAAUACUAAAGGAUUGUCUGCGCCUCAAAAGCAAUAACAAAUGGCAGCUGCUGUGAUUGUGAUUCAAGGGGUCAGGCUCCACCCAAGCAGGCAGCUGAACUUGGCAUGUUGUCUAUGUGGUUCUGGCUUUAAGGUCAUGAAGGUACCUGAAUAAAGGGCUGUGAAUUCUUCCUUCAUGAUUAAGGAGAGUCACUGAGGCCAGGCAUGUGGCAGGGGAUUUCCUGCAUGGAGGCCCUGAGAGGCCAUUGUGUACAGCUAUAAAAGUGAAGCCUGGAUUGCAUUGGAGACCUCAUUUUAGAGGUACCAGAGCUGUGGGAUAUCUGCAAAGGGAAGCUACACACAGGGAAUGGAAUUACCCUGAAAGAGAGGUGUUGUGUGUAGCAAAGCUGGGAGGGCGGAGCCAUCUACAUCUACAUUUGGAGUUUGCCCUGCUGGGUUUCAUUCCUGGCUUUUGUCCAGUAUAUCUUUACUGUACCCCAGUUCCUCCCAUUUGGAAUGGUAAUGUAUAUUCUGUGCCAUUGUAUGUUGGAGAAAUGUGAUUUGAUUUUUGAUUUUGCAGGGUGUGAUGGCUAUUCUUGCUUGUCAACUUGACUACAUCUGGAAUGUGUUGCUACAUGACCACACAUGCACAGUCCAGUAGCCAAAUCGAAUUGGAAGUUUCUGAUCAGAAGUUUAUGCAUCAUUUUCUUCUUAAGGCAGAAGUUACAGAAGACAAGCAAGCUUGCAUUCGGAGUAUUUCCAGGUGACUACAGGGUAUGAAAUGGCGAGUGAGCCCAUGGUCUCUUGAUGGGCAUUCUUCAACUUUAGCGUGUAUCAGAGGCUCUUGUACCCUAAAAUACAAUUUUUAAGUUUCACCUCGGGAGAGUCUGACUCAGUAGAUUUGGGGUUGGCUUUGAAAAUCUACAUUUUGGUUUACAUUUUUAUAAUCUACAUUUUCUUCCAGCAGCUGGGGUACGUGUUUUAGAACCAUGGGUGAAGUACUCAGCGAGGACCAGCAUGUUUCUGUCAUGCUGUAGAGUUGCUGAGGUUGGGAAGAGUCUGGUCAUUGUAAACUACCUAAUACUGAAAAUAAGAGAAAAGAUGUCCCUCAAAGUCUGAAGUUCUAAACUACACACUUUUGACUGAGUCCCUCAGAAGCAAAGUCUCUGAUGGGUACUUGAGUGUAACCCCAGGUUUUUGGUAUAGUCUCAAGAAGAACAGAGUAAGGAUAUAGGACCAGGGUAAGGUAAGGAGGUAAGCAAAUGUGUGGUCUCAGGUGAAGGCCAGCUUUGGCCCAUCCAACCUGGGCACUGGGACAUGUGUUACACUGUAUAGUUGGUCUUACCCUGACGGAAUGAGAUCAGUCUUUUGUAGUUCAUUCACAUCAGUGUGUCACUGAUUUUGAGCUGCACUGGGGUGGAUACGCAUCAUAACAGCCUAUUAAUAAAGUGACUCUGUUGCCACUUGAGGCAUUUCUCAUGAAAGACUUCCUCUAGAGGCACUGGUAAGCCAUGCCUCAUGAAAGCUGAGUGAUUGGUGUAUAGCCAAGCACAGAGAAAGCAGGAGGGGCCCAUCAGCGUCCAGCAUGCUUUGACAACACAGUUACACUGGAGUCUUCUCACAGAUGACUCCAAGUUUUGGUCACUGUGGCCACUCUUGCUGUAACAUUUUAUGUAAUAAGCUUGCUGAUUUUGUGAUUCCUUUUAUAAUUAUGAGGGAAAACAUGGACAAUAUAGACACUUGCCUUUUACUAGAAUUUGUUAUCCUACUGCAACGCAUAUAAAACAUGACAGUCUCCUCUGGCAAUUCUGAUAGCCAUCAUCAAGAAGAGGAACAUGAUUUCAAAUAUUGAAUUAUGGAUUCCCAGGCUGCUGUAAAAUCAUAAUCAUUUGCAGAUGAUUCUGUUUCAUGCUUCUUGUAAUGAUAUUGUUUAUUGGAAGGAGGUUCCCCUGCUUGGAACUUUGAAUGAGAAAUGUGCUGUUCUGGAAACUACUGAACCUGUUGUCAUUGGUUACUUGGCUACAUGAAAUAAAACAACUUCUUCUAAAUUG
Molecule: long non-coding RNA, 3977 nt
Organism: Peromyscus californicus insignis
Lineage: Eukaryota; Metazoa; Chordata; Mammalia; Rodentia; Cricetidae
Exons: 7
Source: RefSeq, a predicted model, not a curated record